GCGGGAGUACGUCAAUUGGCAGACGGCGACCUUCCCAAGGUCGAGGUUGCGGGUUCGAGUCCCGUCUCCCGCU
Molecule: transfer RNA, 73 nt
Filed under: Candidatus Dormiibacterota bacterium
Lineage: Bacteria; Bacillati; Candidatus Dormiibacterota
Description: tRNA-Gly
Rfam family: tRNA
About the family: Transfer RNA (tRNA) molecules are approximately 80 nucleotides in length. Their secondary structure includes four short double-helical elements and three loops (D, anti-codon, and T loops). Further hydrogen bonds mediate the characteristic L-shaped molecular structure. tRNAs have two regions of fundamental functional importance: the anti-codon, which is responsible for specific mRNA codon recognition, and the 3' end, to which the tRNAs corresponding amino acid is attached (by aminoacyl-tRNA synthetases). tRNAs cope with the degeneracy of the genetic code in two manners: having more than one tRNA (with a specific anti-codon) for a particular amino acid; and 'wobble' base-pairing, i.e. permitting non-standard base-pairing at the 3rd anti-codon position.
Source: RNAcentral